Molecule: long non-coding RNA, 318 nt
Filed under: Homo sapiens (human)
Lineage: Eukaryota; Metazoa; Chordata; Mammalia; Primates; Hominidae
Description: HSALNT0106322
Source: RNAcentral
CCAGGCUGGAUCCUGACCUAAAGUUAUCCUCCCGCCUUGGCCUUCCAAAGUGUUGGGAUUAUAGGCAGGAGCCACCACACCCGGCCGGUUAUAAAUAUAUAUACUUUUUGAGAUGAGUCUCGCUCUGUCACCUGGGCUGGAAUACAAUGGUGCGAUCUCGGCUCACUGCAACCUCCACCUCCUGGGUUCAAGCGAUUCUCCUGCCUCAGCCUCCUGAGUAGCUGGGAUUACAGGUGCCCACCACCACACCUGGUUAAUUUUUUUUUUGAGACAGUCUUGCUCUGUUGCCCAGGCUGGAGUGCAGCAGCGCGAUCUCGG